ACGUAGGGGGCGAGCGUUGUCCGGAAUCACUGGGCGUAAAGGGUGCGUAGGCGGCAUUUUAAGCUGGAUGUGAAAUACCCGGGCUCAACUCGGGGGCCGCAUCUGGAACUGGAGUGCUUGAGCGGAGGAGAGGGAAGUGGAAUUCCCGGUGUAGCGGUGAGAUGCGUAGAUAUCGGGAGGAACACCAGUGGCGAAGGCGACUGUCUGGGGUAUAGCUGACGCUGAGGCACGAAAGCUUGGGGAGCGAACAG
RNAcentral lists this ribosomal RNA (251 nucleotides) under uncultured prokaryote. RNAcentral describes it as "partial 16S rRNA". It matches the Rfam family "Bacterial small subunit ribosomal RNA", at positions 525 to 775 of the family's 1533-position model. The record is from RNAcentral.